Paramormyrops kingsleyae is the source of this 1237-nucleotide long non-coding RNA. RefSeq lists it as uncharacterized. The record is from RefSeq and is a predicted model, not a curated record. Lineage: Eukaryota; Metazoa; Chordata; Actinopteri; Osteoglossiformes; Mormyridae.
GUAAUCUCCUCCACAAUGCAGACGCAUCCGACAGACUCACACCACAGCUUUUGUGGCUACAAAUUAAAACGGAUAAAUAUAUAACAGCGAUUGUCUCGGUUUGAAAGCAAACGCUAAAAAAAGGUAUAAGUGGAGAUGACUGAUGGAUUCGCCGGGUCUCCACACCACUGAUCCCAUUAAAUUAGGUGUUGUGUGGCUCAGAUGGUUGGGACCAUGUGCCCACCAUCAGAAGGUUGCUGGUUCGAAUUCCGUAUCAAAUCCACAGCAGACGUUGAUCCCUUGAACCAGGCCUCACUUGCUUUAGAGUGAACAGUGACUGACUUGGCUGCUAUUCCCAGGCUCACAUUCACCUGUGUGUGUCUCACGCAAGGCUGGAGGGGACAAACAAAUGGGAAUUAUCACAUGGCGACGAAUAACAUGUUGUUAUUCUACUAAAUUCCCAUCCCAUGAUUCCUCACACAUGGACAGAGUGACGGCACUGGAGGUUAUGCUUGUGUACCACCUCACAUUUUACGUCCUCGUUCAUUCAUGGUCAGCUUCUAAAAAGGAAGCGCUUCACGUUUUUGGGGAGGACAUACCAUGUAGCCCUUUGGAAUGCAACCUGAAGGCAACCAGACUGACCCAAUCUGCUAUAGAACAAAACCAAACUCAGCGGUUUGAUUCGGACCAUAUCCUACGGAUUUUAGGGCAGACUCUCAGGUAUGAAGAUUCUCCCGUUCAGCAUUCAGAAGAUUCUAGAUAAACCUUGAAAAAGGCAAAGUAAACCCAGCAAAAAAAUGCAUAAGACUCAAGUGAGGAACUGAAGACCAAACUACCUUUCAGGAAACAAAAGGCGCGUCCCCCCCCCCCCCCGGCUCCUUCAGAGACCAGAACCCAAGUGAACUUCAAAAAACACCAUCAACAAAAGAAUCAGGCACCAUCAGGAGCACUUUGUCUAAUAAAACACUGUGCAUAAGACAUCCUGUACAUCCCAGUAGGCUUCCCAGCAAAAAAAACAGACAAGCGUGAGAAGCAGCAAGGAUAAUUUUAUGACAUCAAACCAUGACCUUCAUCUCUACUGUGCGAUUAUUUAUGUUUGUAACAUGCACAUCAAUCAGUCACUGCAGCGCUUCUCAUAAUCUCACUGCACCCUAAUGGACACUGGAAGCCAGCAGGUAAAGUACGUAUUCUGUAGCCAUUAAACAGCCCAACACAAACACGUGACCAAACCCGUGACGAAAUACAUUCUUAUUUAGCA